GACGAACGCUGGCGGCGUGCUUAACACAUGCAAGUCGAACGGAAAGGCCCUGCUUUUGUGGGGUGCUCGAGUGGCGAACGGGUGAGUAACACUUGAGUAACCUGCCCUUGACUUUGGGAUAACUUCAGGAAACUGGGGCUAAUACCGGAUAGGAGCUCCUGCUGCAUGGUGGGGGUUGGAAAGUUUCGGCGGUUGGGGAUGGACUCGCGGCUUAUCAGCUUGUUGGUGGGGUAGUGGCUUACCAAGGCUUUGACGGGUAGCCGGCCUGAGAGGGUGACCGGACCCAUUGGGAUGGAGCUGCGGCCCGGACCACACUGGUAGGCAACAGUGCGGAAGAGUGUACUAGGGGCUGAGGCAUAACGUAGUCAAGCAGUGUGCGGGAUGACGUGAAGGGGGUAGGAUACUGAUGUCGCCUUUCCCGAAGCGUGAGUGACGGUAACGGGUAAAGAAGCUCCGGCUAACUACGUG
Molecule: ribosomal RNA, 468 nt
Filed under: uncultured bacterium
Lineage: Bacteria
Description: partial 16S ribosomal RNA
Rfam family: Bacterial small subunit ribosomal RNA
Source: RNAcentral